This 341-nucleotide unclassified non-coding RNA is filed under the name soil metagenome. Its description in RNAcentral is "partial contains 5.8S ribosomal RNA, internal transcribed spacer 2, and large subunit ribosomal RNA". The stretch from base 1 to 120 matches the Rfam family "5.8S ribosomal RNA", at positions 35 to 154 of the family's 154-position model. The record is from RNAcentral.
GAUGAAGAACGUAGCGAAAUGCGAUAAGUAGUGUGAAUUGCAGAAUUCAGUGAAUCAUCGAAUCUUUGAACGCACAUUGCGCCCUUUGGUAUUCCAAAGGGCAUGCCUGUUCGAGCGUCAUUUGUACCCUCAAGCUUUGCUUGGUGUUGGGCGUCUUGUCUCUAGCUUUGCUGGAGAUUCGCCUUAAAGUAAUUGGCAGCCGGCCUACUGGUUUCGGAGCGCAGCACAAGUCGCACUCUCUAUCAGCAAAGGUCUAGCAUCCAUUAAGCCUUUUUUUCAACUUUUGACCUCGGAUCAGGUAGGGAUACCCGCUGAACUUAAGCAUAUCAAUAAGCGGAGGA